AUGAGACUGAUCAUCAAGGAGACGUUGAGGCUGCACCCGCCGGGGCCACUGAUGUUGCCGCGCGAGCCCACCGAGGCGUGCAAGGUCCUCGGGUAUGAUGUGCCGACGAGCACCACCGUGUUCGUGAACGCGUGGGUGGUCUGCAGAGACCCCAAUCACUGGGACGCCGCGGAGGAGUUCAGGCCAGAGCGGUUCGAGUCCGGCGAAGUAGACUUCAAGGGAACCAACUUCGAGUACACACCGUUCGGGGCAGGCAGGAGGAUCUGUCCCGGGAUGAUGUUCGCGCAUUCUAGCAUGGAGCUCACCCUUGCUGCCCUUCUCUACCACUUCGACUGGGAGCUUCCUGCCGGAGGGGAGUUGGACAUGGAAGAGGAGAUGGGCAUCACCAUCAGCCGGAUGAACGACCUGUACCUACAAGCCAAAGUCUUCGUGCUGCUUAAUUAG
RNAcentral lists this ribosomal RNA (444 nucleotides) under Triticum aestivum (bread wheat). RNAcentral's name for it is "partial small subunit ribosomal RNA". The record is from RNAcentral. Lineage: Eukaryota; Viridiplantae; Streptophyta; Magnoliopsida; Poales; Poaceae.